Molecule: ribosomal RNA, 324 nt
Filed under: uncultured bacterium
Lineage: Bacteria
Description: bacterial SSU rRNA
Rfam family: Bacterial small subunit ribosomal RNA
Source: RNAcentral
GAUGAACGCUGGCGGCGUGCCUAACACAUGCAAGUCGAGCGAAGCACCUUACUUGAUUUCUUCGGGAUGAAAGUAUUGUGACUGAGCGGCGGACGGGUGAGUAACGCGUGGAUAACCUGCCUCAUACAGGGGGAUAACAGUUAGAAAUGACUGCUAAUACCGCAUAAGCGCACAGAGCUGCAUGGCUCGGUGUGAAAAACUCCGGUGGUAUAAGAUGGACCCGCGUUGGAUUAGCUGGUUGGUGAGGUAACGGCCCACCAAGGCGACGAUCCAUAGCCGGCCUGAGAGGGUGAACGGCCACAUUGGGACUGAGACACGGCCCAG